CUCUCUCUCUCUCUCUCUCUCUCCGUUUCCUAAUCCUCUCUCUCCCUCCCGAUCUCUGCUCCAUCUCUCACAUUCUCCUCCCUCUCUCUCCACAACAUCUCUGCCGUCUCUGCCGUGAAGAUCCUACCCGAAGAAACACACGUGAAGCUUCUCUCCAUAGCUAGUUUUCAUCAAUUGUAUGCUGAUUUUAAGAUGCCACCUUUUAGUUUGAAAUUUUACCCCUUUUAAGUUGAUCUGUUGGUGGUAUCCAGAUAGAAUCCCAUAAUAAUAAGCUGGAGAUGCAGUCUGUAAAUAAUAAAUCACUCAUGGAAGAGCUUGAAAAGCUUCUCAAAUGUUUGCGUGUCCCUUCUGAGUUUGCAGCAUCUUUAACCGGAGGCUCAUUUGACGAGGCACGCAUGCUAAAUAAUGUUGAAGCUUGUGAAUGGUUAACUGGUGCUUUGCAUGCUCUAGAAGUGCCAAAUCUGGAUACUUGCUAUGCAAA
Molecule: long non-coding RNA, 481 nt
Organism: Magnolia sinica
Lineage: Eukaryota; Viridiplantae; Streptophyta; Magnoliopsida; Magnoliales; Magnoliaceae
Exons: 3
Source: RefSeq, a predicted model, not a curated record